CUCUUAACAUACGUAUGGAAGCGCGCAUGCCCAAAGUAGAGAGAGGUACUGUCUCGUUAUACACAGGACAUUCGGUCCCUCUCACAAACCAUUAUAAGCCGCGACACGAAUAACGAGACCAUACGAAAUCCGUUCGCCACUGCACAGAUGACGCGAGAAACAGGAGAAACAAAUCGUACUGGUUACGCGCACUUGUCGGAACCAAACUGCGUAACGUUCGAUCCGAGCAGCACGACCCAAAAUAACGCUGCUUUACAACAACGUUUGACGGAGAUCAAAGACCUUCAACGAUUAGCCAGCCUGACCACGCGCGCGUCACCAUCACUACCUCGAGCGAGCACGCACCAAUCAGGCUUUCAUUUAGACGCGCGCCCACAACACACGGAUCAUUUCGGGCCAAACACAUUCGCGCCACCGAUACGCAAUUAGUCACCGUCUUCAUCAACCCGCUCACAUAUACAUAUUGCGACUGUACCGUACCAAAAUCCGCCUGUUAUACGACCUCCUUCCCCCGAGUUCACGGAAAAAUUUGACGAGGACCCGAGGGAGUUUCUGGAGCAGCUAGAAAAUUUCCUGACUCAAUCCGGCGGCAUUCAUUACGAUUUGUGGGUGAAUACCGGGGUACAGUUUUUAAGGGACACGGGAUUUACUUGGUGGGAGUCCAUUAAGUUGAACAACAUGUCCUGGCGCCAAUUUUCGUGGCGUUUGAUAGUAACAGCAUCCAAGCGGAGCUGGAAAACGAACUCAUGAUGACACAACAGGGGCCCAUUAGCGAAUGACGGAGUUUAUUAUAAAUAAACAAUGGCUAGCGAUACGAGCACGCCCCAGUUGUUCAGAGCAGCAUGUCGUAGAUCGGGUAGUCAGUCUUUUACGCUUCGGGAAACGAACAGUAGCAACGGAGAAAUUAGUCCGCUUUCUUGGCUCAAAGACACUAUUUCUUUCAUCACCAAUCAAACAUACAACGCAGCGCGAACGACCAGUUCGCUCAUCGACGAUAACGAAAUCAAACGCGCUACUCUCAACGUCGGAACAGAAGCGCGUGAAAAACGAUACAAGGAGUAUAUGCUGAAGCGUUGGGGAGUGGUCGUUGGCGAGACGACCCCCACCGUCAUUCAACAACAACAACCACAAUGGCUACGACACCAACAAUGGACACAGCAGUGCUAGCCACAACAGAAGAACCCCUGUUGGAGGAACUCAUGGAGUUAGAGGAAGUCAUGCUGGAAGAUCGAUCUGUUUCUCACCUGCUCCCCAUCUCCUGAACCUCCUAAGAAGGAAUAACAAGCAUCCACUCCUCUACAACCCAUGCCACAAAGAGCGAUACCGCGCGAACAAACACCACUUCAAACAAACAACUUAUAAAGAUUUGGAGAAGUGACAUCAUAGACUGUGGGAUACUAUCAUGAUAGCAGAUUUUGUUGGGUGUACGGAACAACGUGAACAAACACAAAAUAAUUAUACAUUUGUUAUAAAUUACUUAUACUGAUAAAGUAUAUAUAAAAACCAACCAGCAUUUGUAGCAAAUUUUCAACAUUUUUUUUUUUUU
Long non-coding RNA from Daktulosphaira vitifoliae (grape phylloxera), 1546 nucleotides. RefSeq lists it as uncharacterized. NCBI's taxonomy places the organism in Eukaryota, Metazoa, Arthropoda, Insecta, Hemiptera, Phylloxeridae. The record is from RefSeq and is a predicted model, not a curated record. The transcript is spliced from 3 exons.